UAGAAUAACAAGACAAAUGGAUUUUGCUUACUCUACUAUUACAAUAUGAACAGGAAGACCCUGGAUCCAUGUGAAAUCCAAAAUAGAGAAGGAAUAUCCCACUGUGCAGUAUACAUCAUGGACAGUACGUGAUAUAAUCUCAUUUUACCUUUCGUGCUUAAAAGUUGUCGCCCUGUGAUCGAGUAAGGAGGAAAAAAAUGUGACUAUUAUAUUGGAUGAAUAAUUUGCAGUUCUGGCCAGUUGUUGGAUGGGUAAAUCACCAAUAUGUACCACUUCAGUUCCGGGUUAUAGUCCAAAGUGUUGUUGCAUGUUUCUGGUAUGUUGUUUUCUCCCACUUGGAAUUUUUCACGUUACAUUCUAGAGAACAAGUUUAUCCUUGAUUUCACUUCUAUUACGACUAGAGUAACUUUGGAUUUGCAAUAUCAGUUUUUAUUUCAUUCCUUUCAUUGAUUUUCCAGGGGAAUAUUUUUGAACCUGCGAGCAAGGUCUAUGCCGCUAAAAAAAGGUUAAUGAAGUCGUGAGAAAGGAAUUUGCAACAAGUACGAUUAUGUAGUCUCUGGACACUUGACUUUGCCUCUCUUAACUUGUAUUUUUCUUGAGCAGUUUAGACGUAAAAUCUGAAUGUCGAUGCUAUUGCGUAUCUGUAAGCACUUUAUUAUGCCGAACUAUUUAUUUAUCCAAGCUGUGGUAGUAAUGGCUUUUUCGAGAAUAGUCUUUUUUAUUUUUUGCCUCAGAAAAGAAAUGGUCCUAUAAUUUGCAAUAGUUUGGCCUUCAGGGAUUGAAUUUAUGUCCUGAUGAUAUUCAAUUUGUCACUGUCCAUGAUGUGAAAAGGGUAAAACCAAUAAAGUUACUUUUAAGCAACUUAUUUCGUCGAUGGUU
RNAcentral lists this long non-coding RNA (879 nucleotides) under Olea europaea subsp. europaea. The record is from RNAcentral. Lineage: Eukaryota; Viridiplantae; Streptophyta; Magnoliopsida; Lamiales; Oleaceae.